RNAcentral lists this ribosomal RNA (88 nucleotides) under Crocinitomicaceae bacterium. Its description in RNAcentral is "partial 16S ribosomal RNA". It matches the Rfam family "Bacterial small subunit ribosomal RNA", at positions 1 to 87 of the family's 1533-position model. Lineage: Bacteria; Pseudomonadati; Bacteroidota; Flavobacteriia; Flavobacteriales; Crocinitomicaceae. The record is from RNAcentral.
UUACAAUGGAGAGUUUGAUCCUGGCUCAGGAUGAACGCUAGCGGCAGGCCUAACACAUGCAAGUCGAGGGGUAACAGGGAAAAGCUUG